RNAcentral lists this small nuclear RNA (106 nucleotides) under Equus asinus (donkey). Lineage: Eukaryota; Metazoa; Chordata; Mammalia; Perissodactyla; Equidae. The record is from RNAcentral.
GAGCUGACUUCAAUGGCACGUAUAAAAAAUGAGAACAAUACAAAGAAGAUUAGCAUGGGUCCUGCACAAGGAUCAUGGGCACAUUUGUAAAGCAUUUCAUAUUUUU